AAUGAAGGAACCUGGGCAACGGCAAUG
This 27-nucleotide small RNA is filed under the name Arabidopsis thaliana (thale cress). Its description in RNAcentral is "ATSL150670". Lineage: Eukaryota; Viridiplantae; Streptophyta; Magnoliopsida; Brassicales; Brassicaceae. The record is from RNAcentral.